Molecule: ribosomal RNA, 454 nt
Filed under: uncultured Streptococcus sp.
Lineage: Bacteria; Bacillati; Bacillota; Bacilli; Lactobacillales; Streptococcaceae
Description: bacterial SSU rRNA
Rfam family: Bacterial small subunit ribosomal RNA
Source: RNAcentral
ACAAGCGGUGGAGCAUGUGGUUAAUUCGAAGCAACGCGAAGACCUUACCAGGUCUUGACAUCCCGAUGCUAUUUCUAGAGAUAGAAAGUUACUUCGGUACAUCGGUGACAGGUGGUGCAUGGUUGUCGUCAGCUCGUGUCGUGAGAUGUUGGGUUAAGUCCCGCAACGAGCGCAACCCCUAUUGUUAGUUGCCAUCAUUCAGUUGGGCACUCUAGCGAGACUGCCGGUAAUAAACCGGAGGAAGGUGGGGAUGACGUCAAAUCAUCAUGCCCCUUAUGACCUGGGCUACACACGUGCUACAAUGGUUGGUACAACGAGUUGCGAGUCGGUGACGGCGAGCUAAUCUCUUAAAGCUAAUCUCAGUUCGGAUUGUAGGCUGCAACUCGCCUACAUGAAGUCGGAAUCGCUAGUAAUCGCGGAUCAGCACGCCGCGGUGAAUACGUUCCCGGGCCUU